UGAGGCUCGUUUCCUGUUCUUUGUAGAAAACAAUGCUUCCCUCCCCCUGUCCCCCCCUCCGCCCAUCCCAGGGUGGCUUUAUCUCCCCUCCCUUGGGAUUCACUGCACUGGGUUCCUCAGAAGCUGCGUUUUAUGUUUGUCUUAAAAUACAAAACCCUGCUCUGAUUUAACUGAAUUGAUUUUAAAGCUGUGUCUGGUAUUUGAUGUCUGGUAGAUGCAUUUAAACUGAUCUAAACUUUCUGUGUUUGGGCACAUUUACAUGAAGCUGGUAAUUUACUGUGCAAGUGACAGCAACUGGAAGGCUGGACCGUAAAUGCUGACAUGGGUCGAAAUUCAGGUCUGGGGCUUUUCAUGCAAGCUGGAGCACAGAUGCUCAGAACAACGUAUUAUCUGUCUAUUAUACAACAUGAUAUUAUGUCUGUGCUUUGCACUGCUUCAGCUACUUUGUUCCUAGCUUAGUGCCUCCACGGAGUGAAUCGUGUACGACUGGGCCAUUACCGCUCCAUGCACCACGAGGACUUCCACAUCACAUCACGCUUUUGUGACCUCAGAACAGGAACGAGAUCCCCCAGAUCUCCCGGCUGCUGUAGAUUCCCAGCAGCUGGUCCUGCUGGGACAGACUGGGAUCCAGCCACAGGAGAGCUGUGGGGACACCUACAACAACGUCUCCUGCAGGCACCUUCCUGCCAGCCCUGCAUGGAGAGACGGUGCCUGCGUGAACCAGCAUGCAGCCAGUUCGCCAGUGCAUCUCACUCCUGAGACCUUCUGGGGAUCUCAGGAAGAUGCAGGGAUCUUCCCCCAUAACUGGAGGAUGCGAUCAAGCAAUUUUAUUGGAGAUUUACAAGCAAAUAAGGCAUGGACUGGGAGACCAGAAAACCUGAGACCGUGUGCCCCCUCACCAAGAAGGAGGCGAACAAAGCUAACCCAGUCCCCGGCAGCCUUUAGAAGAAAUUCCCUAGGAGCAACACCACAACAAGAGCAUCUCCAGAUGUGCUGGAGCUUGUCCUCAUCACCUCCGCAAAGCCCCGAGCAUGAUGGGGGCCGCUGUGCUCUGCACGUUGGCUGCCAUGAGUUUUCAGGACAUGCAAAGAGGAUUUGGGAAACUCUGCUCAUUGGGUCUCUUUAGAGUCGGGAUUCCUCCAAGCAAGAAAGGAUGAGAGGCUGCAGGAUGCAGGGGCUUGAUUUGGCGAGAGGCUCUGCCCUGCUCGGAUUCUGCUAAAUUUGAAACUUCCCAGGACUUGAGCCGCUCUCAUGUCCUGCAGCUGUGUGGGGAGAGCCCUGCUGGAGCUGUUACAGUGCUGCUGCGAAUAAGGGGAUUUUCUCUCUCCUGAUGUACAUAGCCUGUACUUCCAUCCAAAAGAAGGGAAGAAAAAGAAAAGCCCCUGCUUAGCACCCACACACCCCGCACCUCCCGCUGAGUUACGCAAGCUGAAGUCUGCAGCGUGUACACGGCUGCCCUGAGAGGUGCAUGUGACAGAUGACAGCACUGGGAGAACUUCCUUUAAUUAUUACUACUAUUGCUGUUACUAUUAGCAAUUAAACCAUUUGUUCUAAACCUGCCUGGAUUUCAAAACAAGCACGGGGUGGUCAGAUUGGCAAAGACUAUUGGGUUGACUGGUACGGCAUCCUGCCUGGAGUGAAGAUAAUAGAGUGCCUGGGUGAUUGCUCAAUGAUGAUGGAUUAGUGGGGAAUUGCUCUUGGACCCUGAGAGCAACACUCUAGGGCCUGACAAGGCUUGUGCCCUGCUCCUCUGGAGACUGGCUUGCACAAGGACAGGACCACGAUGUUGUAAAGAGCAGGUGUUGCAGACAUUUGAGACUUGGAAGCCACACCUCGCGUGGGGUGCGAUUCGUCUUUGCUGUCACUACUGAUGCUUUUUGGUUGCCUGGAGCCCCUGCCCUGUGUGGUGAAGAAACACAGAUAUUUACAGCUCUGCAGAUGUGAAUAAGAGUGGGUACAUUGCUCCCGCUAGGCUGUGCAGCAGCAAUGGAGACAAAUGCUUUCAUUUGGCUGCGCGAACCUCAUCCAGCUUUAGCGUGUCUCCUGCUGCUGUUAUUUCUUCCAGACCAUGAUUUGCUAAACAGCUUCCAAACCAAGCAGAGGCUGCAAUUCCUGCCCUGUGGAGC
Molecule: long non-coding RNA, 2126 nt
Organism: Anser cygnoides (Swan goose)
Lineage: Eukaryota; Metazoa; Chordata; Aves; Anseriformes; Anatidae
Source: Ensembl